UACACACACUAGAGUUUGAUCAUGGCUCAGGACGAACGCUGGCGGCGUGCUUAACACAUGCAAGUCGAACGGUGAAGCCUUCGGGUGGAUCAGUGGCGAACGGGUGAGUAACACGUGGGCAAUCUGCCCUGCAUUCUGGGGCAAGCCCUGGAAACGGGGUCUAAUACCGGAUACGACCUGUCCCCGCAUGGGGGUGGGUGGAAAGCUCCGGCGAUGCAGGAUGAGCCCGCGGCCUAUCAGCUUGUUGGUGGGGUGAUGGCCUACCAAGGCGACGACGGGUAGCCGGCCUGAGAGGGCGACCGGCCACACUGGGACUGAGACACGGCCCAGACUCCUACGGGAGGCAGCAGUGGGGAAUAUUGCACAAUGGGCGAAAGCCUGAUGCAGCGACGCCGCGUGAGGGAUGACGGCCUUCGGGUUGUAAACCUUCUUUACAGCAGGGAAGAAGGCGCAAGUGACGGUACCUGCAGAAGAAGCACCGGCUAACUACGUGCCAGCAGCCGCGGUA
Molecule: ribosomal RNA, 508 nt
Filed under: uncultured Streptomycetaceae bacterium
Lineage: Bacteria; Bacillati; Actinomycetota; Actinomycetes; Kitasatosporales; Streptomycetaceae
Description: bacterial SSU rRNA
Rfam family: Bacterial small subunit ribosomal RNA
Source: RNAcentral